UACGUAGGGGGCGAGCGUUGUCCGGAAUCACUGGGCGUAAAGCGCGCGUAGGCGGCCAUGCACAUCCGCGGUGAAAGCCCUGUGCUCAACGCAGGGAGGACCGGGGCGAUGGCGUGGCUGGAGGGUCGUAGAGGCAGGUGGAAGUCCCGCAGUAGUGGUGAAAUGCGUAGAGAGCGGGAGGAACACCCGUGGCGAAGGCGGCCUGCUGGGCGAUGCCUGACGCUGAGGCGCGAAAGCUAGGGGAGCGAACGGA
Molecule: ribosomal RNA, 253 nt
Filed under: uncultured bacterium
Lineage: Bacteria
Description: partial 16S ribosomal RNA
Rfam family: Bacterial small subunit ribosomal RNA
Source: RNAcentral